UGGUGGGUAGUUUGACUGGGGCGGUCUCCUCCUAAAGAGUAACGGAGGAGCACGAAGGUUGGCUAAUCCUGGUCGGACAUCAGGAGGUUAGUGCAAUGGCAUAAGCCAGCUUGACUGCGAGCGUGACGGCGCGAGCAGGUGCGAAAGCAGGUCAUAGUGAUCCGGUGGUUCUGAAUGGAAGGGCCAUCGCUCAACGGAUAAAAGGUACUCCGGGGAUAACAGGCUGAUACCGCCCAAGAGUUCAUAUCGACGGCGGUGUUUGGCACCUCGAUGUCGGCUCAUCACAUCCUGGGGCUGAAGUAGGUCCCAAGGGUAUGGCUGUUCGCCAUUUAAAGUGGUACGCGAGCUGGGUUUAGAACGUCGUGAGACAGUUCGGUCCCUAUCUGCCGUGGGCGCUGGAGAACUGAGGGGGGCUGCUCCUAGUACGAGAGGACCGGAGUGGACGCAUCACUGGUGUUCGGGUUGUCAUGCCAAUGGCACUGCCCGGUAGCUAAAUGCGGAA
Molecule: ribosomal RNA, 502 nt
Filed under: Escherichia coli
Lineage: Bacteria; Pseudomonadati; Pseudomonadota; Gammaproteobacteria; Enterobacterales; Enterobacteriaceae
Also listed under: 5 other names
Description: partial 23S ribosomal RNA
Rfam family: Bacterial large subunit ribosomal RNA
Source: RNAcentral